CCUACGGGAGGCAGCAGUGAGGAAUAUUGGACAAUGGUCGGAAGACUGAUCCAGCCAUGCCGCGUGAAGGUUACAGUCCUAUGGAUUUUAAACUUCUUUUGUAUGGAAGCAAUAAGGUGUACGUGUACACCGAUGAGAGUCCCAUACGAAUAAGCAUCGGCUAACUCCGUGCCAGCAGCCGCGGUAAUACGGAGGAUGCAAGCGUUAUCCGGAUUUAUUGGGUUUAAAGGGUGCGUAGGCGGAUAUGUAAGUCAGCGGUGAAACUCACAGGCUCAACCUGUGCCGUGCCGUUGAAACUGUGUAUCUGGAAUGCGGAUGCUGUGGGAGGAAUGUGUAGUGUAGCGGUGAAAUGCAUAGAUAUUACACAGAACACCGAUUGCGAAGGCAUCUCACAAAGCCGUUAUUGACGCUGAGGCACGAAAGUGUGGGGAUCAAACAGGCUUAGAUACCCCUGUAGUC
RNAcentral lists this ribosomal RNA (459 nucleotides) under uncultured Bacteroidota bacterium. RNAcentral's name for it is "bacterial SSU rRNA". It matches the Rfam family "Bacterial small subunit ribosomal RNA", at positions 338 to 795 of the family's 1533-position model. The record is from RNAcentral. Lineage: Bacteria; Pseudomonadati; Bacteroidota.